Molecule: ribosomal RNA, 516 nt
Filed under: Pediococcus acidilactici
Lineage: Bacteria; Bacillati; Bacillota; Bacilli; Lactobacillales; Lactobacillaceae
Description: bacterial SSU rRNA
Rfam family: Bacterial small subunit ribosomal RNA
Source: RNAcentral
AACGCUGGCGGCGUGCCUAAUACAUGCAAGUCGAACGAACUUCCGUUAAUUGAUUAUGACGUGCUUGCACUGAAUGAGAUUUUAACACGAAGUGAGUGGCGGACGGGUGAGUAACACGUGGGUAACCUGCCCAGAAGCAGGGGAUAACACCUGGAAACAGAUGCUAAUACCGUAUAACAGAGAAAACCGCCUGGUUUUCUUUUAAAAGAUGGCUCUGCUAUCACUUCUGGAUGGACCCGCGGCGCAUUAGCUAGUUGGUGAGGUAACGGCUCACCAAGGCGAUGAUGCGUAGCCGACCUGAGAGGGUAAUCGGCCACAUUGGGACUGAGACACGGCCCAGACUCCUACGGGAGGCAGCAGUAGGGAAUCUUCCACAAUGGACGCAAGUCUGAUGGAGCAACGCCGCGUGAGUGAAGAAGGGUUUCGGCUCGUAAAGCUCUGUUGUUAAAGAAGAACGUGGGUGAGAGUAACUGUUCACCCAGUGACGGUAUUUAACCAGAAAGCCACGGCUAACUA